AUUGAACGCUGGCGGCAUGCCUUACACAUGCAAGUCGAACGGCAGCGCGGACUUCGGUCUGGCGGCGAGUGGCGAACGGGUGAGUAAUGUAUCGGAACGUACCUUUCAGUGGGGGAUAACGUAGCGAAAGUUACGCUGAUACCGCAUAUUCUGUGAGCAGGAAAGCAGGGGAUCGCAAGACCUUGCGCUGAUUGAGCGGCCGAUAUCAGAUUAGCUAGUUGGUGAGGUAAAGGCUCACCAAGGCGACGAUCAGUAGCGGGUCUGAGAGGAUGAUCCGCCACACUGGAACUGAGACACGGUCCAGACUCCUACGGGAGGCAGCAGUGGGGAAUUUUGGACAAUGGGGGCAACCCUGAUCCAGCCAUGCCGCGUGAGUGAAGAAGGCCUUCGGGUUGUAAAGCUCUUUCGGCCGGGAAGAAAUCGUACGGGUUAAUACCCUGUGCGGAUGACGGUACCGGCAUAAGAAGCACCGGCUAACUACGUGCCAGCCGCCGCAGUAA
RNAcentral lists this ribosomal RNA (500 nucleotides) under uncultured bacterium. RNAcentral describes it as "partial 16S ribosomal RNA". It matches the Rfam family "Bacterial small subunit ribosomal RNA", at positions 30 to 523 of the family's 1533-position model. The record is from RNAcentral.